This 443-nucleotide ribosomal RNA is filed under the name uncultured bacterium. RNAcentral's name for it is "partial 16S ribosomal RNA". It matches the Rfam family "Bacterial small subunit ribosomal RNA", at positions 338 to 795 of the family's 1533-position model. The record is from RNAcentral.
CCUACGGGCGGCAGCAGUGGGGAAUAUUGGGCAAUGGGCGCAAGCCUGACCCAGCAACGCCGCGUGAAGGAAGAAGGCUUUCGGGUUGUAAACUUCUUUUCUUAGGGACGAAGAAAGUGACGUUACCUCAGGAAUAAGCCACUGCUAACUACGUGCCAGCAGCCGCGGUAAUACGGAGGUGGCAAGCGUUAUCCGGAUUUAUUGGGUGUAAAGGCGGUGUAGGCGGGAAAGCAAGUCAGAUGUGAAAACUCAGGGCUCAACCCUGGGUCUGCAUUUGAAACUGUUUUUCUUGAGUGCUGGAGAGGUAAGUGGAAUUCCGUGUGUAGGGGUGAAAUGCGUAGAGAUAAGGAGGAAGACCAGUGGCGAAGGCGGAUUGCUGGACAGUAACUGACGCUAAGGCGCGAAAGCGUGGGGAGCAAACAGGAUUAGAUACCCGGGUAGUC